CAGCAGCCACGGGAAUACGUAGGGCGCAAGCGUUGUCCGGAAUUAUUGGGCGUAAAGAGCUCGUAGGCGGUCUGUCGCGUCUGGUGUGAAAUCCCGAGGCUCAACCUCGGGCUUGCAUCGGGUACGGGCAGACUAGAGUGCGGUAGGGGAGACUGGAAUUCCUGGUGUAGCGGUGGAAUGCGCAGAUAUCAGGAGGAACACCGAUGGCGAAGGCAGGUCUCUGGGCCGCAACUGACGCUGAGGAGCGAAAGCAUGGGGAGCGAACAGGAUUAGAGACCCCCGUAGUCCCUGUCUCUUAUAA
This 301-nucleotide ribosomal RNA is filed under the name uncultured bacterium. RNAcentral's name for it is "partial 16S ribosomal RNA". It matches the Rfam family "Bacterial small subunit ribosomal RNA", at positions 509 to 809 of the family's 1533-position model. The record is from RNAcentral.